CCUACGGGCGGCAGCAGUCGAGAAUCAUUCACAAUGGGGGAAACCCUGAUGGUGCGACGCCGCGUGGGGGAAUGAAGGUCUUCGGAUUGUAAACCCCUGUCAUGUGGGAGCAAAUUAAAAAGAUCGUACCACAAGAGGAAGAGACGGCUAACUCUGUGUCAGCAGCCGCGGUAAUACAGAGGUCUCAAGCGGUGUUCGGAAUCACUGGGGGUAAAGCGUGCGGAGGCUGGUUCGUAAGGCGUGUGUGAAAGGCGCGGGCCUAACCCGCGGAGGGCCGAUGAUACUGCGAGACUAGAGUAAGGGAGGGGGAACCGGAAUGCUUGGUGGAGCAGUGAAAGGCGUAGAUAUCGAGCGGAACACUCGUGGCGAAGGCGGGUUCCUGGAGAUUAACUGACGCUGAGGCACGAAGGCCAGGGGAGCGAAAGGGAUUAGAUACCCCAGUAGUC
This 446-nucleotide ribosomal RNA is filed under the name uncultured bacterium. RNAcentral describes it as "partial 16S ribosomal RNA". It matches the Rfam family "Bacterial small subunit ribosomal RNA", at positions 338 to 795 of the family's 1533-position model. The record is from RNAcentral.